This 463-nucleotide ribosomal RNA is filed under the name uncultured bacterium. RNAcentral describes it as "partial 16S ribosomal RNA". It matches the Rfam family "Bacterial small subunit ribosomal RNA", at positions 28 to 507 of the family's 1533-position model. The record is from RNAcentral.
GACGAACGCUGGCGGCGUGCUUAACACAUGCAAGUCGAACGGAAAGGCCCUGCUUUUGUGGGGUGCUCGAGUGGCGAACGGGUGAGUAACACGUGAGUAACCUGCCCUUGACUUUGGGAUAACUUCAGGAAACUGGGGCUAAUACCGGAUAGGAGCUCCUGCUGCAUGGUGGGGGUUGGAAAGUUUCGGCGGUUGGGGAUGGAAGCGCGGCUGAUCAGCUUGUUGGUGGGGUAGUGGCUUAGCAAGGCUUUGACGGGUAGCUGGCCGGGGAGGGUGACCGGCCGGGCUGGGACUGAGGCACGGCCCAGACUCCGACGGGAGGCAGCGGUGGGGAAUCUAACGGAAUGGGCGAAAGCCCAACGCAGCCGUGCCGGGUGAAUGAGGCAGGUGUUAGGAAAGAAAAAUUCUUUCAGCGGGGACGAUAAUGACGGUAACCGGAGAAGAAGCCCCGGCUAACUACGUG